CCUACGGGAGGCAGCAGUGGGGAAUAUUGGGCAAUGGGCGAAAGCCUGACCCAGCAACGCCGCGUGAAGGAAGAAGGCUUUCGGGUUGUAAACUUCUUUUGACAGGGAAGAGCAGAAGACGGUACCUGUCGAAUAAGCCACGGCUAACUACGUGCCAGCAGCCGCGGUAAUACGUAGGUGGCAAGCGUUGUCCGGAUUUACUGGGGGUAAAGGGCGUGUAGCCGGGCUGACAAGUCAGACGUGAAAUCCGGGGGCUCAACCCCCGAACUGCAUUUGAAACUGUUGGUCUUGAGUAUCGGAGAGGCAGGCGGAAUUCCUAGUGUAGCAGUGAAAUGCGUAGAUAUUAGGAGGAACACCAGUGGCGAAGGCGGCCUGCUGGACGACAACUGACGGUGAGGCGCGAAAGCGUGGGGAGCAAACAGGAUUAGAUACCCGAGUAGUC
Molecule: ribosomal RNA, 442 nt
Filed under: uncultured bacterium
Lineage: Bacteria
Description: partial 16S ribosomal RNA
Rfam family: Bacterial small subunit ribosomal RNA
Source: RNAcentral